CAGAAGCAGGCCUUCAUUGCAUAGCUGGGAUUUCAGUUUGCUGGUAGAUUCUUGCCUCCAGUCUUCUCUCAGGUUCUUGUUCCAGAGGUGCUCUGACCCCAGAGCCAUACAGGGUCUGUAGCCUUGAGAAAUGGGAAUGAAAUUGGCCCAGUCUGUCAGGAAAGCAAAAACACCCUGGGGUUUGUUUGGCCAAAGACGGACCAUGAAGAUGUCUGUACUUCCAGUGGGGGGAGAAGAACACCAACUCACAGCCACUCAGGCCUGGCAGUCCCUGCAGCGAGAGCUCAGCACACAUCCACAGAGGCAUGUCCAGCAUCUGAAAGAAGUAAAAUCAACAGCAGUAAAAGUUUGUUUUUUAGCAGAUGCUUUUGGGCAUCUAAAGCAGAGACUUUGAAGAUUCAGUGAAGGAAAUAGUAUUAAAUACAGCGAGCAUUUAAGUUCAUACCCUGAGAUGGCUCUGCCCAGCUGGCCCAGAGACCCAGUUCACUGCUCCUGUGAGCCCUCCAGCAGUAUUCCAGGACUCUGAUGAAGCCUUCACCUUCUCCUAUUUGAAGAUGCCAGCUGGGUGGUCUUUGGCAAGAGCCAAGCAGUUGGGGCCUACCCUGCUAGGACAGUCUCAGCCUCUGACUGCAGCUGAAGCAUGUGAGGUGAGCCCCUGGGCAUUCUU
This is a long non-coding RNA of Catharus ustulatus (Swainson's thrush), 667 nucleotides long. RefSeq lists it as uncharacterized. The record is from RefSeq and is a predicted model, not a curated record. Lineage: Eukaryota; Metazoa; Chordata; Aves; Passeriformes; Turdidae. The transcript has 4 exons.